Xiphophorus hellerii (green swordtail) is the source of this 674-nucleotide long non-coding RNA. RefSeq lists it as uncharacterized. Lineage: Eukaryota; Metazoa; Chordata; Actinopteri; Cyprinodontiformes; Poeciliidae. The record is from RefSeq and is a predicted model, not a curated record. The transcript has 2 exons.
UUAAAGACAACGGUGCAAACGAUAUUCUGCAACAUUUCCCUGACUCCUCAAACCGAGCUGGACGUGUGUGUGCCAGGCAAAUUGGGCAUACUGCUGCAGUCGUACUCACACAACAAUAAGCUGCUAUAUAUAUAUAGUCAAUAAGCGGCUCUGCAGGAGAAUUUCUUCCCAAAGAAUUCGUACCUGCGAGAAAAGUCUCUGCAAAACCAGCAAGGAAGGAGUUAAGAGAGUCCAACUGGUGCUAACCAAUCACUCCAGUCACAUAGCACCUGAGGGGGGUGCUGCAUUUAUCAGGCUGGUCUGAACACCCACACACACACACACACUGCAGCGCGUGCACGCACACAAUCGCACACCCACACACACGCUCGCGCAGAGAAAGACACACACAAACAUUGGGAGGGUGAGCCCAAACUAGCUGAGCUGCAUUCACAAGUCAGCGCAGAGCCUCUGACUUCUUCACCUCUCAGCUAUGCUCUGCUUUUCUUUUUGAAAGUGCCGCUCGAUCUCCCCUUUUGACAAGCUACGAAAAAAAAAAGGGGGAAAACACACAAUGCAGAGACACCUAAAGAAUGAACCCGGAAUCACUCCUAUGACGAGGGAUCGUGCAACUGAGAAAGUCAGCAUUGUGAGAUUGUCGCCUCGCUGGAAUAAAUUGGUUUGUGAAUAAAUGA